RNAcentral lists this ribosomal RNA (681 nucleotides) under uncultured nitrite-oxidizing bacterium. RNAcentral describes it as "bacterial SSU rRNA". It matches the Rfam family "Bacterial small subunit ribosomal RNA", at positions 21 to 696 of the family's 1533-position model. The record is from RNAcentral.
GGCUCAGAAUGAACGCUGGCGGCGCGCCUAAUACAUGCAAGUCGAGCGAGAAGACGUAGCAAUACGUUUGUAAAGCGGCGAACGGGUGAGGAAUACAUGGGUAACCUACCCUCGAGUGGGGAAUAACUAGCCGAAAGGUUAGCUAAUACCGCGUACGCUCCUUGGACUUCGGUUCAGGGAGGAAAGCGAUACCGUGGGUAUCGCGCUCUUGGAUGGGCUCAUGUCCUAUCAGCUUGUUGGUGAGGUAACGGCUCACCAAGGCUUCGACGGGUAGCUGGUCUGAGAGGACGAUCAGCCACACUGGCACUGCGACACGGGCCAGACUCCUACGGGAGGCAGCAGUAAGGAAUAUUGCGCAAUGGGCGAAAGCCUGACGCAGCGACGCCGCGUGGGGGAUGAAGGUCUUCGGAUUGUAAACCCCUUUCGGGAGGGAAGAUGGAAUGGGUAACCAUUCGGACGGUACCUCCAGAAGCAGCCACGGCUAACUUCGUGCCAGCAGCCGCGGUAAUACGAAGGUGGCAAGCGUUAUUCGGAUUUACUGGGCGUACAGGGAGCGUAGGCGGUUCGGUAAGCCCUCUGUGAAAUCUUCAGGCUUAACCUGGAAAAGUCGGAGGGGACUGCUGGGCUAGAGGACGGGAGAGGAGCGCGGAAUUCCCGGUGUAGCGGUGAAAUGCGUAGAGA